CGAAAUCAGUUAAGAACUCAUUGUUAUUUACAAGGACAGCCUACUCCUUCCUCCUCGUUGGGGGCUUGAAUCCCGGUCUUCCGGUGUUUGCAAUAUGGACAACUAUCAAAUGCUUCUCAAAGAUGCCCUCUGGUGGUCAAACUAGCAAUAACAGAAAAAAUGGCUGAGAAUUAAAUGAUGUGCCACAGAAUGCUAAGACAGGACGCAAGGUGUGCCGCAGUAUGACGCAACUUGUAAAGGAGGAACCACUGUAUGUUUGUCCUCUAUAGUUGCGUGCUUUUUUUUCAGUAGCAGCCUACCUGUUGGCUCUUGAUCGUUGUAGCCUAUCCUCCUGCUAAUUGCAUCAUUUUAAUUACAUCUUCCAUUGAUUAGAUAUUGCCUAACUUUUGCCCCACACGGAGGCUAUGACUGUAGCCUACUGCCGCUUUGAUGACUUACUAUUGGACAACAACAACAACAAGCUACACACACCAAUCUUGUGAAAAGAAUGAGCAGCAGCAGAAAUGAUACAAUACAUAUAUAUUUAGACUCAUGUUUGGUGAUGUUUUUCGUGACACAUUUUACCCCCUAUGAACCUUUUGCAAGUUUUACAGCCCAGUAGGCUACUGGGUUACCUUCAGAUGACUCCCCUGAAGCAACUGACAUCUUCGUGUUGGUGAGAGUCUCCCCAUUCAAUAUUGGGGACACAUUAGUUUGUAGCUCCAACGGUCUGGAGAGACGGUUUUGUGAGAAGACCCUCGAAACGCUGCAAAGUUUGUGGAUGUUGGAGAGCCAAACAAACGACAGUGUCGCAUCUUUCGAUGGUGGUGACUUAAGUUUGUAGCUCACACGAUUUGGGUUUCACAGACAAUUUGGAUGAUGUUCUUUUCCGGAUCUUCUCAAGUGUAGAAAAAUGCCGCUUUCACAAGUCCCAUGUUAUGUCAGCAGAAAGAGAUGAUUGAGCUGCAGCCACUACAAGACAUGUUCGUCUUGUCUUGUCAGGUCUUACCAGCGUUCUCUCCCGCCUUCCUGUUUCUCUAGUUCUGUUUCCUAGUUUUUCCCGGUUCUGACCAUUCUGCCUGCCCUGACCCCGAACCUGCCUGCCAUCCUGUACCUGCCUGACUGACCUGAUCACGAACCUCUGCCUGCCCUCGACCUGCCCUUUGCCUGCCACGUGUUUCCAAUAAAUCAUGUGAUAACUGUACUAUCUGCCUCCUGUGUCUGCAUGGGCCAUAUCCUGAGUCGUGAUAACUACGCAUUUGGC
RNAcentral lists this long non-coding RNA (1243 nucleotides) under Salmo salar (Atlantic salmon). RNAcentral's name for it is "lncRNA (ENSSSAG00000086279.1)". Lineage: Eukaryota; Metazoa; Chordata; Actinopteri; Salmoniformes; Salmonidae. The record is from RNAcentral.